Molecule: transfer RNA, 66 nt
Filed under: Olidiana tongmaiensis
Lineage: Eukaryota; Metazoa; Arthropoda; Insecta; Hemiptera; Cicadellidae
Description: tRNA-Leu
Source: RNAcentral
GCUAGUUUGACAGAGUUUAUGUAUUAAUUUUAGAAUUUAAUUAAGUAAUUUAUAUUACAUCUAGUA